GGUGAACGCUGGCGGCGUGCCUAAUACAUGCAAGUCGAGCGAACGGACGAGAAGCUUGCUUCUCUGAUGUUAGCGGCGGACGGGUGAGUAACACGUGGAUAACCUACCUAUAAGACUGGGAUAACUUCGGGAAACCGGAGCUAAUACCGGAUAAUAUUUUGAACCGCAUGGUUCAAAAGUGAAAGACGGUCUUGCUGUCACUUAUAGAUGGAUCCGCGCUGCAUUAGCUAGUUGGUAAGGUAACGGCUUACCAAGGCAACGAUGCAUAGCCGACCUGAGAGGGUGAUAGGCCACACUGGAACUGAGACGCGGACCAGACUCCUACGAGAGGCAGCAGUAGGGAAUCUUCCGCAGUGGGCGAAAGCCUGACGGAGCAACGCCGCGUGAGUGAUGAAGGUCUUCGGAUCGUGAAACUCUGUUAUUAGGGAAGAACAUAUGUGUAAGUAACUGUGCACAUCUUGACGGUACCUAAUCAGAAAGCCACGGCUAACUACGUG
This 497-nucleotide ribosomal RNA is filed under the name uncultured bacterium. RNAcentral's name for it is "partial 16S ribosomal RNA". It matches the Rfam family "Bacterial small subunit ribosomal RNA", at positions 28 to 507 of the family's 1533-position model. The record is from RNAcentral.